UGCCUAUGGUAGGGUGGUGGCUAGGGGCCAUUUAAGAUACUUUAAAGUUGGUAUUCAACCCCUCCCCACUGCUAAAUUUGACUGGCUUUUA
This 91-nucleotide small RNA is filed under the name Microcebus murinus (gray mouse lemur). Its description in RNAcentral is "Y RNA (ENSMICG00000025889.3)". Lineage: Eukaryota; Metazoa; Chordata; Mammalia; Primates; Cheirogaleidae. The record is from RNAcentral.